GAUGAACGCUGGCGGUGUGCCUAAUACAUGCAAGUCGAGCGAAUGGAUUAAGAGCUUGCUCUUAUGAAGUUAGCGGCGGACGGGUGAGUAACACGUGGGUAACCUGCCCAUAAGACUGGGAUAACUCCGGGAAACCGGGGCUAAUACCGGAUAACAUUUUGAACCGCAUGGUUCGAAAUUGAAAGGCGGCUUCGGCUGUCACUUAUGGAUGGACCCGCGUCGCAUUAGCUAGUUGGUGAGGUAACGGCUCACCAAGGCAACGAUGCGUAGCCGACCUGAGAGGGGGAUCGGCCACAUUGGGACUGAGACACGGCCCAGACUCCUACGGGAGGCAGCAGUAGGGAAUCUUCCGCAAUGGACGAAAGUCUGACGGAGCAACGCCGCGUGAGUGAUGAAGGCUUUCGGGUCGUAAAACUCUGUUGUUAGGGAAGAACAAGUGCUAGUUGAAUAAGCUGACACCUUGACGGUACCUAACCAGAAAGCCACGGCUAACUACGUGCCAGCAGCCGCGGUAA
RNAcentral lists this ribosomal RNA (515 nucleotides) under uncultured bacterium. Its description in RNAcentral is "partial 16S ribosomal RNA". It matches the Rfam family "Bacterial small subunit ribosomal RNA", at positions 28 to 523 of the family's 1533-position model. The record is from RNAcentral.